This 119-nucleotide non-coding RNA is filed under the name Aquaspirillum sp. Its description in RNAcentral is "Glycine sequence". It matches the Rfam family "Glycine riboswitch aptamer". From Rfam's summary of the family: This family represents the bacterial glycine riboswitch. Glycine riboswitches usually consist of two metabolite-binding aptamers domains with similar structures in tandem. Lineage: Bacteria; Pseudomonadati; Pseudomonadota; Betaproteobacteria; Neisseriales; Aquaspirillaceae. RNAcentral also lists the same sequence under 1 other name. The record is from RNAcentral.
CCGACCAACUCUGGAGAGCGCCGGCUUGGGCCGGACACCGAAGGGGCUAACGGCAUCCUGCGGCGGCACUGCGCCGCCCGUGCCGGAAAAUCUCAGGUAAUCAGGACAGAGGGGUGUUG